ACGAAGACACAUAAAAAUAAUAAUACAGAAAACACAGAAAAUAUUGGGAGGACUUUCCAGUCUGAAAUACUGAAAUUUACCUGGUGUUUAUUUUUCCACAGCUUUUAUGCCCACUGUAAACUUGGGGAGAAAGUAACAAAAGACUCUAUCAACAUGAUACAAGAGGAUAACUCACAUAGUCAGUGGCCAUCAUCACUCUGAGACGUCAAAUCCUUAGCAUUCUGUCCUCCAGGAAGUUCAUCCCUGAAGAUGCCAGCCCAGACAUGGACCCAGAAGAAACUUUAGGAACCAACUUUACCAACAAGCCCGGAUGUCAUUAGCCUGCAUCCCCAGGACUCCCCACCUUAGAGACACUGAACCCUUUUCUUCACCUGGCCUGAUGCUGCAUGCCUCCCAUCUCAGCACCCCUAUGAGGAAGAGGCAAGGAGCUGGAGUUUGCGAAUAGCCUGAGCCCAGGUUAUUCUAGGUUAACAAGCAGGUUAAAAGUUUGUCUCGGAUAACAAAAAAGACAAUAAAUCCUUGAAAGUC
Myodes glareolus (Bank vole) is the source of this 528-nucleotide non-coding RNA. NCBI's taxonomy places the organism in Eukaryota, Metazoa, Chordata, Mammalia, Rodentia, Cricetidae. The record is from RefSeq and is a predicted model, not a curated record.